AGUUAGCUGACGAGUCCCCAAUAGGACGAAGCGUGCAUCCUGAAU
This 45-nucleotide non-coding RNA is filed under the name Trichobilharzia regenti. Lineage: Eukaryota; Metazoa; Platyhelminthes; Trematoda; Strigeidida; Schistosomatidae. The record is from RNAcentral.